This 1201-nucleotide ribosomal RNA is filed under the name uncultured organism. Its description in RNAcentral is "bacterial SSU rRNA". It matches the Rfam family "Bacterial small subunit ribosomal RNA", at positions 265 to 1458 of the family's 1533-position model. The record is from RNAcentral.
UCACCAAGGCCACGAUGGGUAGCCGGCCUGAGAGGGUGUACGGCCACACUGGCACUGAGACAAGGGCCAGUCCCCUAUGGGAGGCGCAGGCGGGAAUAGUUCACAAUGGGCGAAAGCCUGAUGACGCGACGCCGCGUGAGCGAAGAAGACCUUCGGGUUGUAAAGCUCUGUCAGGAGGGAAGAAGGCUCUACGGGUUAAUAGCCCGUGGAAUUGACGGUACCUCCAGAGGAAGCCCCGGCUAAAUACGUGCCAGCAGCCGCGGUAAUACGUAUGGGGCAAGCGUUGUCCGGAUUUACUGGGCGUAAAGGGCGCGUAGGCGGUUUGUUAAGUCGAAGGUGAAAUCCUCGGGCUCAACUCGAGAAUUGCCUUCGAUACUGGCAAACUAGAGUGGCGGAGAGGAAAGCGGAACUCUUGGUGUAACGGUGGAAUGUGUAGAUAUCAAGAGGAACACCGGUGGCGAAGGCGGCUUUCUGGACGCACACUGACGCUCAGGCGCGAAAGCGUGGGUAGCAAACAGGAUUAGAUACCCUGGUAGUCCACGCCAUAAACGAUGGGUACUAGGUGUCGGGGGUAUCGACCCCUCCGGUGCCGCAGUUAACGCACUAAGUACCCCGCCUGGGGAUUAUGGUCGCAAGGCUGAAACUCAAAGGAAUUGACGGGGCCCCGCACAAGCGGUGGAGCAUGUGGUUUAAUUCGACGCAACGCGAAGAACCUUACCUGGGCUUGACAUGCUUGGGACAGCGCUGGAAACAGCGUCUCUCCUUCGGGAGCCCUUGCACAGGUGCUGCAUGGCUGUCGUCAGCUCGUGUCGUGAGAUGUUGGGUUAAGUCCCGCAACGAGCGCAACCCUCGUUACUAGUUGCCAUCAGUUCGGCUGGGCACUCUAGUGAGACUGCCGGUGAUAAACCGGAGGAAGGUGAGGAUGAUGUCAAGUCAUCAUGGCCCUUACGCCCAGGGCUACACACGUGCUACAAUGGUCGGCACAAAGGGUCGCUAAGCCGCGAGGUGGAGCUAAUCCCAAAAAGCCGGCCUCAGUUCGGAUUGGAGUCUGCAACCCGACUCCAUGAAGGCGGAAUCGCUAGUAAUCGCGGAUCAGCAUGCCGCGCUGAAUAUGUUCCCGGGGCUUGUACACACCGCCCGUCAUAUCACCCGAGUCGGGAUACCCGAAGUCCGUGACCCAACCAUUUGGAGGGAGCGGCCG